AGUAACACGUGGGUAACCUGCCUCAUAGAGGGGAAGUAGCCUUUCGAAAGGAAGAUUAAUACCGCAUAAGAUUGUAGUACCGCAUGGUACAGCAAUUAAAGGAGUAAUCCGCUAUGAGAUGGACCCGCGUCGCAUUAGCUAGUUGGUGAGGUAACGGCUCACCAAGGCGACGAUGCGUAGCCGACCUGAGAGGGUGAUCGGCCACAUUGGGACUGAGACACGGCCCAGACUCCUACGGGAGGCAGCAUG
RNAcentral lists this ribosomal RNA (249 nucleotides) under uncultured bacterium. Its description in RNAcentral is "partial 16S ribosomal RNA". It matches the Rfam family "Bacterial small subunit ribosomal RNA", at positions 109 to 353 of the family's 1533-position model. The record is from RNAcentral.